RNAcentral lists this long non-coding RNA (787 nucleotides) under Neogale vison (American mink). Its description in RNAcentral is "Neovison vison (American mink) lncRNA (ENSNVIG00000005677.1)". Lineage: Eukaryota; Metazoa; Chordata; Mammalia; Carnivora; Mustelidae. The record is from RNAcentral.
GGCAGGCUGGUCUCACUGCUUUUCUGCCGUCCUGCAGCCAAGCCUCGUUGGAGCCCACGGUCCGCAGGGGGCUUGGUGCGGUGGACCCAGUGACAGCCGUGGCCCUGGUGAGCUGGGGGGGCAGCUCUCCCCCAAAUGGUCACCUCUCUUUCCCAAUGGUGGAUUUGUUUCCAUCCCUUGACCUGGAGCUUCUCUGCCCAUCCAGGUCCCUGAACUCCGCUGGUGCGGCCCGGCCUCCUGUGGCUGAGGAGGGACUGCUGAGGAAGGAAGCCCCUCCUGUCCGAUCCUCCCUCACUCCUUUGGACCCCACGUUGCAGCCAACGGUGUUCUUAGCAUCUUGGCAAAGGCAAAGGAUCAGGCUGGGACCGGGUGGCUCAGUCUGCACAUUCCAGCUCCUCUACCCCCAGACCGCCUGGAAACAGGAGCUGAGCCUCCGCCCCACGGUGUCUGCUUUUCCCGGCCUAUCAGGGAAGGACCAUGUACCCGGUGAGUAGGGCAUUUCUUUUAUUUAUUUGUUCUAGAUUUAUUUAUUUGAUAGAGCGAGAGCAGGAGCAGGAGGAAGGGCAGAGGGAGAGGGAGAAGCAGACUCCCUGCCGAGUGGAGAGCCUGAUGUGGGGCUUGAUCCCACAACCCUGAGAUCAUGACCUGAGCUGAAAUCAGGAGUCAGAGGCUUAACUGACUGUGCCCACCCCCAGUUGCCCUAUGGCAUUUCUUUAUACUCCACUCUGCUUUACUGGGCGGGUUUAGGGAUGCUUCUAAGAAUGCAUCCAGUAAAAACAACGUGAAC